This 301-nucleotide ribosomal RNA is filed under the name uncultured bacterium. RNAcentral describes it as "partial 16S ribosomal RNA". It matches the Rfam family "Bacterial small subunit ribosomal RNA", at positions 509 to 808 of the family's 1533-position model. The record is from RNAcentral.
CAGUCGCCGCGGGAAUACGUAGGUCCCGAGCGUUGUCCGGAUUUAUUGGGCGUAAAGGGAGCGCAGGCGGUUAGAUAAGUCUGAAGUUAAAGGCUGUGGCUUAACCAUAGUACGCUUUGGAAACUGUUUAACUUGAGUGCAAGAGGGGAGAGUGGAAUUCCAUGUGUAGCGGUGAAAUGCGUAGAUAUGUGGAGGAACACCGGUGGCGAAAGCGGCUCUCUGGCUUGUAACUGACGCUGAGGCUCGAAAGCGUGGGGCGCAAACAGGAUUAGAUACCCGUGUAGUCCCUGUCUCUUAUACA